CUCUCCGAUGCAGAAAGAGCCGGAAAAGCCAGGCGAAGCUGGCUCCAGGCUGCAUGACCACAGCUUCUCUUCUUUUUCUCCCACCCCAUUCCAAAGCUGGGGCAAGGAUGCCUCCGGCCCUGAGGGCACAGCCUUCUGCGGGCAGGGCAGGGGCCAGGGCAGUAAGGGGCUGGUGGGAGUCAUGGGGAAAGAGGGGAAUUGGAAGCCCUGAUGACCCAGCCAGCUAACACACAUCAUUCAUUCCAUCACCGCUGCUGUGGUCAGACGUUUGAUGAUGAGACUUCUGCCUCCCACUUGGACAUCUUCAGGGCCAAGCCUCCAAAGAUGCUUCUGUCUCUGCAAAGGUCAAGGUUUCAGCCUUCAAGAUGCCCAGUGUCUCCUCCCUCAAGAAUCUCCUCAAAUCACCUCUCCCAGAGGAUGUCAAGCCUUCCUAUGUUUAUUUUUACACCAACAGGAUUACUGAAUUUUUAACUACCAAAAUAAAACAGUAAAUUCAAAAUAAAAAGCUUUUAAAAAAUAAUAAAAUACAUUUUUAAAAACGACUAAAAAGGGAAAAAAAACAGGAAAACUAAAAAUAGCAUUAGAAGGAAAUCUACUCCCAAUGCUCAGCUUCUAUCUCGCUUGGACAGAAGUUAUGGCAAUGCUGGGAAGAGACUUUGUUGCGGUUAUGGGACAAACCAGAGGUCUUCUCCACCCAAGUACUUCAGACAUCUAGGCCACUGGACACCCACUCCAAAGGGGUCACAGAGGUCACACCACCAGCCAAGCUGACAUGCGAGAGCAGAGUCAGCAAACCCUUCCUGAAACAGGCCAGAUAGAAAAUCAGAUCAGAAACAUUUUAGCCCAGGGAUUCUCACUAGGGAUGAUUCUGCCCCCAAGGGACACUGGGUGAUACCUGGAGUUAUUUUUCAUUGUCACAACUGGAGGGGUGCUUCUGACUUCUAGUUAGUAGGGGGCAAGCAUGCUGCUAACAUCCUACAAUGCACAGUGUGGCACCCAACGCCCCCAUACACACACAAAACAGAAUUUUCCAACCCAAAUGUCAGUAGCACCAAGACUUAUAAAUCUUGUACAACAACAACAAAACACUUAGCUCCUGGUCAAACAAGCUACAGGCCAUAAUUUGCCCUAGAGAGUGCUAGCAGUGCCUGCAAGGCCCACAAAGACCACACUCCGGAGGAAGCCAAGAGCUCUGAGGUCACACAAACCACUUAGCAAGUCCUUCACCCAGGGAUCAGGGGAACCAAUCUACCUAUACCUCAAGGCAGAAAGCAGGGUUCUCCAAGGGACAAGAAUCUCCUUGUCCAUCCACCUAUUAAGCUCUACCCACGCUUUCCAGCCCACUUACAACCUUAAAUCUGUGAGAUAGG
This 1370-nucleotide long non-coding RNA is filed under the name Dasypus novemcinctus (nine-banded armadillo). RNAcentral describes it as "lncRNA (ENSDNOG00000051434.1)". Lineage: Eukaryota; Metazoa; Chordata; Mammalia; Cingulata; Dasypodidae. The record is from RNAcentral.